This 373-nucleotide ribosomal RNA is filed under the name uncultured organism. RNAcentral's name for it is "bacterial SSU rRNA". It matches the Rfam family "Bacterial small subunit ribosomal RNA", at positions 526 to 896 of the family's 1533-position model. The record is from RNAcentral.
CGUAGGAGGCAAGCGUUAUCCGGAUUCACUGGGCGUAAAGCGCAUGCAGGCGGUGCGGUAAGUUGGGCGUGAAAUCUCCCGGCUCAACUGGGAGAGGUCGUCCAAUACUACCGUACUUGAGAGCAGAAGAGGAAGAUGGAAUUCCCGGUGUAGUGGUGAAAUGCGUAGAUAUCGGGAGGAACACCAGUGGCGAAGGCGAUCUUCUGGUCUGUUUCUGACGCUCAUAUGCGACAGCUAGGGUAGUAAACGGGAUUAGAGACCCCCGGUAAUCCUAGCCGUAAACGAUGUGAACUUGGCGUUGGUGGGUUAAACUCCAUCAGUGCCGUAGCAAACGCGAUAAGUUCACCGCCUGGGGACUACGGCCGCAAGGUUA